RNAcentral lists this ribosomal RNA (496 nucleotides) under uncultured bacterium. RNAcentral describes it as "partial 16S ribosomal RNA". It matches the Rfam family "Bacterial small subunit ribosomal RNA", at positions 28 to 507 of the family's 1533-position model. The record is from RNAcentral.
GACGAACGCUGGCGGCGUGCCUAAUACAUGCAAGUUGAGCGAUGAAGAUUGGUGCUUGUACCAAUUUGAAGAGCAGCGAACGGGUGAGUAACGCGUGGGGAAUCUGCCUUUGAGCGGGGGACAACAUUUGGAAACGAAUGCUAAUACCGCAUAACAACUUUAAACAUAAGUUUUAAGUUUGAAAGAUGCAAUUGCAUCACUCAAAGAUGAUCCCGCGUUGUAUUAGCUAGUUGGUGAGGUAAAGGCUCACCAAGGCGAUGAUACAUAGCCGACCUGAGAGGUGGACGGCCCACAUGGGAAUGGGAAACGGCCCCAAACCCUUACGGGGGCCGCCGUAAGGAAUCCUCGGCCAUGGAAGGAAGUCUGGCCGAGCAACGCCGCGUGAGUGGAGGAGGUUUUCGGGUCGUAAAACUCUGGUGGUAGGGAAGAAAGGUGGUGGGAGUGGAAAGCUCAUCCAGUGACGGUAACUACCCAGAAAGGGACGGCUAACUACCUG